UAGGGAAUCUUCCGCAAUGGACGAAAGUCUGACGGAGCAACGCCGCGUGAGUGAAGAAGGAUUUCGGUUCGUAAAACUCUGUUGUUAGGGAAGAAAAAAUGUAUAGUAACUAUAUACAAAAGAGACGGUACCUAACCAGAAAGCCACGGCUAACUACGUGCCAGCAGCCGCGGUAAUACGUAGGUGGCAAGCGUUGUCCGGAAUUAUUGGGCGUAAAGCGCGCGCAGGUGGUUUAGAAAGUCUGAUGUGAAAGCCCACGGCUCAACCGUGGGGGGUCAUUGGAAACUAAUAAACUUGAGUGCAGGAGAGAAAAGUGGAAUUCCUAGUGUAGCGGUGAAAUGCGUAAAGAUUAGGAGGAACACCGGUGGCGAAAGCGGCUUUUUGGCCUGCAACUGACACUGAGGCGCGAAAGCGUGGGGAGCAAACAGG
Molecule: ribosomal RNA, 429 nt
Filed under: Verrucomicrobiota bacterium
Lineage: Bacteria; Pseudomonadati; Verrucomicrobiota
Description: Verrucomicrobia bacterium partial 16S ribosomal RNA
Rfam family: Bacterial small subunit ribosomal RNA
Source: RNAcentral